GUGGAUGGUCUUUGGACAGAAUGGUAAUGUGCUAAGAUGUUUCGUGAUAUAGUUCGUUGAUGCGAAGCCAGUUUCAUUGUGGCUUUGAGUUGCACAUUUUACUCUUCCUUUCUUGAUUUAGAAACAAUUUUACAUGCAUUUGAGAUAUUAGAUGCAUUUGUGUUUUACAUGUUUAUUGGGACUAUGGGAUGCCUCUGUGAAACGUAUAUGCAAUAAUUGGUUCAUGAAUGGUAUUGAACGUUGUAUGCUGGGAGUGCUUUGUCAUCAUGGGCGACACCUUUGUGUUUCUAUGUUUCCUUUGCUGGGGACUUCUUAUGUAGUAAGAAUUUUUUAAGUAUAUGUUGGUUAGAAGACCACAACAUUCAUUUAGACUUGUGCUAGCUCAUGUUGUACUGAAUGCAUCAUUUUCUGUACUGAUUCAAACUUGUUCUUGCCUCAGGUGAUCAUUUUCUUUUCAAUUUUUCUUUGAGACCUGUUUAAUAAACACUCUUUCUGUGAAGUCAUUUCCAAAGUGACCUUCUACACUCUUUUUGGUUAUUCCUAUAUUUUCACCAGAAAGACAUGCUGUUGUGCAGCAAAUAUCUAAUGGAACUUAUUUCA
Syzygium oleosum is the source of this 600-nucleotide long non-coding RNA. RefSeq lists it as uncharacterized. NCBI's taxonomy places the organism in Eukaryota, Viridiplantae, Streptophyta, Magnoliopsida, Myrtales, Myrtaceae. The record is from RefSeq and is a predicted model, not a curated record. The transcript has 2 exons.